CCUACGGGAGGCUGCAGUGGGGAAUAUUGGGCAAUGGAGGAAACUCUGACCCAGCAAUGCCGCGUGAAUGAAGAAGGUCUUCGGAUUGUAAAGUUCUUUAGUCAGGGAAGAAGUCAUUGACGGUACCUGAAGAAUAAGCUCCGGCUAACUCCGUGCCAGCAGCCGCGGGAAUACGUAGGGAGCAAGCGUUGUUCGGAAUGACUGGGCGGAAAGGGUGCGUAGGCGGUUGUAAAAGUUAGAAGUGAAAUACCCAGGGCUUAACUCGGGUGCUGCUUCGAAAACUGUAUGACUUGAGUGCAGUAGAGGUAAGUGGAAUUCCAAGUGUAGCGGUGGAAUGCGUAGAUAUUAGGAGGAACACCAGAGGCGAAGGCAGCUAACUGGACUGCAACUGACGCUGAGGCACGAAAGUGUGGGGAGCAAACAGGAUUAGAUACCCGGGUAGUC
This 444-nucleotide ribosomal RNA is filed under the name uncultured bacterium. RNAcentral describes it as "partial 16S ribosomal RNA". It matches the Rfam family "Bacterial small subunit ribosomal RNA", at positions 338 to 795 of the family's 1533-position model. The record is from RNAcentral.